Bombyx mori (domestic silkworm) is the source of this 472-nucleotide long non-coding RNA. RefSeq lists it as uncharacterized. NCBI's taxonomy places the organism in Eukaryota, Metazoa, Arthropoda, Insecta, Lepidoptera, Bombycidae. The record is from RefSeq and is a predicted model, not a curated record. The transcript has 2 exons.
ACUGCGUACCUAUAGAAUAUCUACUGUUACUUAAAUUAAUUAGUUUGUACAGAUGUUAUUAAAUAUGAUUUCAUAUUAAACUUGUGUAAAUUCAUAGAAUUUCGGAGUAUAAAAUGGCGAUUUAUGUCCGCGAAUACUAUACGCAAAUUAACAUCGUUGAGUCGAACGUUCUAAGAAUUCAAAUAAAAUGAAGCAAUUUUUGAUCGUGGUACUUCUGGCCGUGGCGACGGUGGCGUAUGCAGUCCCCGUGGACUCAGAAAGCGCGAGCAAUGAAGUGGCCGAGGUUGCAGGCGCCGGUGUGGCCAGCGGAGUACAGACCGCUUUGAAACCGGAAAACUUCGAAAAGCUCGUUCAAGGCUUUCCCGGAAUAAUCGAUAACUUUAUUUCGUUGAUUGUGGGCUUCUUCAAACAGGCAUUCGGCCCGAAAACCGAGUCUUAAGUGUUUUGUUUUAAUAAACAUCUGUGAAUGUUA